RNAcentral lists this small RNA (803 nucleotides) under Arabidopsis thaliana (thale cress). RNAcentral describes it as "ATSL272150". Lineage: Eukaryota; Viridiplantae; Streptophyta; Magnoliopsida; Brassicales; Brassicaceae. The record is from RNAcentral.
AAAAUUAAUGGAGUAAGUGAAGAUGGUUUCAAGCUUCGCUUGUUUCCAUUUUCACUUGGAGAUAAAGCCCAUCUGUGGGAAAAGACGCUACCCCAGGGAUCAAUCACGACCUGGGAUGACUGCAAAAAGGUCUUCUUGGAAAAAUUCUUCUCCAACUCCAGGACUGCAAGACUCUGGAACGAGAUAUCCGGAUUCACUCAGAAGCAAAAUGAAAGCUUCUGUGAAGCUUGGGAGCGCUUUAAGGGUUAUCAAACCAAAUGCCCUCAUCACGGAUUUAAGGAAGCAUCUCUUCUCAGCACACUUUACAGAGGCGUCCUACCUAAGAUACGUAUGCUCCUUGACACCGCCUCCAAUGGGAAUUUCCUGAACAAGGAUGUCGAAGACGGAUGGGAGCUAGUUGAAAACUUGGCUCAGUCGGAUGGCAAUUACAACGAAGAUUAUGACAGAAGCAUCCCCACCAGUACUGAAUCUGAUGACAAGCACCGGCGAGAGAUUAAAGCUCUCCAUGAAAAAAUCGACAAACUCCUCCAAGUGCAGCAGAAGCAUGUUCACUCCGCCUCUGAAGACGAAGUAUUCCAAAUCCAAGAGGGGGAGAAUGAUCAGGACGCUGAAAUCAGUUAUGUUCAGAACCAAGGCGGCUACAACAAAGGGUACAACAAUUACAGACCCAACCCAAAUCUGACAUACAGAAGCACAAAUGUCGCCAAUCCUCAGAACCAAGUUUACCCUCAACAGCACAGCAGAACCAAACCAAACCGUUUGUUCCUUACAACCAAAGCCAAGGGUUCGUUCCUACUGAUAAU